CAAUAGCGUAUAUUAAAGUUGUUGCAGUUAAAAAGCUCGUAGUUGGAUUUGUGGCGUACGGUGUGUUCCGGGCACUUGUUGUCUGAGUAACCUGCUGUUGCCAUCCUUGGGUGGAACCUGUGUGGCAUUAGGUUGUCGUGCAGGGGAUGCCCAUCAUUUACUGUGAAAAAAUUAGAGUGUUCAAAGCAGGCUUAUGCCGUUGAAUAUAUUAGCAUGGAAUAAUGAGAUAGGACUUUUUUGCUACUUUGUUGGUUUGCGCAAAGAGGUAAUGAUUAAUAGGGACAGUUGGGGGUAUUCGUAUUCCAUUGUCAGAGGUGAAAUUCUUGGAUUUUUGGAAGACGAACUACUGCGAAAGCAUUUACCAAGGAUGUUUUCAUUAAC
This 381-nucleotide ribosomal RNA is filed under the name uncultured eukaryote. RNAcentral's name for it is "partial 18S ribosomal RNA". It matches the Rfam family "Eukaryotic small subunit ribosomal RNA", at positions 592 to 977 of the family's 1831-position model. The record is from RNAcentral.